CGAUGAGAGUAAGGAACCUGCUACGGAGGAUGAGAAGUGGCUCCUUGUCCCAGGAAAGAUAGAGAAUUUCACAUACACGGGGAAGAAUGUCCGCGUGCCAGGGAGUCUGAUUGGAGCUGCUAUUAGGAAGUACUGGCCGGGGAUGUACACUCCGGUCCUUGGGGGCGAGUCCAAGCUAGCCUACACUUGGGAAGACUUUGAGAUAGCGCCUUACCCUGGCUUUACUUCCGCCGCCGACGCCGUGAUCAAGAAGUUUUGGCGCAAUUAUAGGGUGGCGACUGAGCAUAAGGAGAGGGCGGACGUGGUGCUCCGUAACAUGUGUCGGAAGUUGACACGGCAGCAGUGGUACAACCGAGA
Molecule: non-coding RNA, 357 nt
Organism: Lolium perenne
Lineage: Eukaryota; Viridiplantae; Streptophyta; Magnoliopsida; Poales; Poaceae
Source: RefSeq, a predicted model, not a curated record